AUAGGGAAGAAGGAAUCGAACCAACAUCAAAAAAUCCAAAACUUUUUGUAUUUCAAUUAUACUAUCCCCUA
This 71-nucleotide transfer RNA is filed under the name Furcifer lateralis (carpet chameleon). RNAcentral's name for it is "tRNA-Gln". Lineage: Eukaryota; Metazoa; Chordata; Lepidosauria; Squamata; Chamaeleonidae. The record is from RNAcentral.